Molecule: long non-coding RNA, 7887 nt
Organism: Mirounga angustirostris (Northern elephant seal)
Lineage: Eukaryota; Metazoa; Chordata; Mammalia; Carnivora; Phocidae
Exons: 4
Source: RefSeq, a predicted model, not a curated record
GGAAGCCCGAUGCGGGACUUGAUCCCAGGACCCUGGGAUCAUGACCUGAGCUGAAGGCAGACGCUUAACCAUCUGAGCCACCCAGGCGCCCUUCACUUGAUUUCUUCACACAACAUUUUAUUAUAAAAAUUUUCAGAAAUGUUGAAUGAAAGCCCACCCCCUAAUUCAUUCCACAAUUAACUUUUUCUACAUUUGCUUUAUGAUCUGUCCAUCCAUCAGUCUGUCUUACUGUUUUUGUGCAGCACAAAGUAAGCCAUGCUUCAGUGGAUGUUGAAUCCUGGGGACUCCACUCUGCCCAAUGACUGUUUGGCCUCUGUUUAAAUUCCCCUGGAGAUGGGAAACUCACUACCUGUUACAAUUCCCCGUUACAACUAUUCUGGCUGUCACCAAGCCCCCUUCUGUGCCCGGGUCCCAAUGGCAGGCCCUCCCAGGUGUGACUAUUCAAAUGAAAGGCACUGAGAACAGAGAGUCAGAACUCCCUGGAGUUGUUAGAACCCGGAGGCUGGGCACUCCUUCAGGGCUUCCCGUUCAGGAGGUGGCUGGCAGGGUCCGUGCGUGUGCAUUUCUAGCAAGCUCCCAAGUAUGCCUGACACAGCUCGCCUAGGCCCCCACUUUGAGAAUUGCUGGUCUAAGCUUACACAGCCACUUGGGGGUACAGUUAAUCCUAAAAUAACUGUGUAGAAAGUCUUGGGUGUCCCUUUAGGGAAAGUCUUGGGUCUGGAAACAUGCUUCUGGUCUGAGGGUGCCCCAGUCUUUACCCCAAGGGAGGCCACCCCACCCCUCUCCUGGUGGCCCCAAAUACAGCUGGUUGCAGGGGGUUGGGCAGGCGCCUUCCCUGUGGCAACUUGCUCCUGUCCUGUGUGUGGUCCCCCAGGGAAGGUUGUGUGUCUGCAGCUGCUGGCUCAGGUCCUCCUAGUGGCUUCCCUGGCUCUCCUCUCUACCUCGGUGUCCAUUGACUCCACUGACUGUCUGAGAUGGGGUCUGGCCGUGUCCCCAGGGAGAGGCAUCAUCAUUCGACCUGAAUGAACCGGUGCACCCGAUGAACUUACUUUGCUUUUAUUUAUUUCCUCUCUGCCCAAAGCUAAAAUGUUCUGUAAAAAAAACAAGUGUGUAUCUCUAAGACUGCCUUUGCCUCUGUCUGCAGACUGGGGAUGCUGUCUUUCACAGUACACUUUUGCAAAUUUAGUUAUUUAAGAAGGAGUAAACUUGCGUUAAUUGUCAAUGGCUUAUUAGUACCCACCUAGAUGGCCAGGCUGGGGAUAGGUGUGAAUUUCAUUAAUUUCCCCAUGCUUUUGGGGUUUGGUUUGAACUCAAAAGCCCUUCUUGAGCGAACUCUUGUGAAAGCUUUAAUUAACUCUUGCCAGUGUCAAUAUGUUUUAUUACCUUCUGCAGCCUGCAGCCUUCCCCCGUGACUAAUUUACUCGGAUGUUUGGGGCCGAGGUAAUGAAGGCAGGAGCUCUGUGCAGACGCUGGAGUGGAUUAAAUCACGUUAUGGGCUCCAGCUGGAGGGCAGUGCUUCUCCAUCAGAGGUGAUAAUAGAGGGUUGUUCUUCUCUGGGUGGGGGUGUGCACCCUAGCAGACUAGGGUGGGUGGGUAAUGCUUCCAUGAGGCCAGAGAAAAGUCCUGGAGACAGUAAUUGAGACAUAGGUCUAGUGGGGGAGCUUACAUACAGAGAGCCCGGGAGUGGACAGCUGGACAAAGCACCUAUAUACAGCCAGCUUGUAUAGUACAGCAACUGAGCCUAGUGACUCUCUGCAGCCCCUCCCUCCUUACAGGGCCAGCCCUCCAAGGAGAUCCAAGCCUGACGCCUGGACACUCUUCGUUACAAGGGAGACACUCCGGGUUGGCCAUCCUUGGGAGCCCGUAACCUUGAAUGCUGAAAAAAACCAUUUUUCUGCACAUUCUGCUUGAUGGGAAUAUAGAAGGAGGACAGGACCUCUAUGUUCUCAAGAUAGUGAUUAACAUGCGCAUUCAGGGUGUGUUCGCACCAAAUAGUGAUCCAGCAUGUUCCAUACAGGAGGGGCCCCUGAAGUUUUAAUCAGUUUUGCUGCAUCAGAAAUGUGAGGGUCUGAGCUUGGACAUAUGACCUUGGUGGUGGCCUUUGAGAGCACAGAUGUGGUGUCCAGGACUUGAGUUCAGGUCCCAACCACCACUUGGAAGCUGGGUGCAGCAUAAGUCACCCCUUCUUCAGGAUGGCCCCUUUCCUCCAUUUGAAAGUGUGGGCAGGAAUCUUGCCCCUCAGAAGACCAGGUGUGGGGGGCAUCUUUGUGGCCACAGUGGAUGUGGAGCAGCUGACUUCCAUUGGUUUGGUGGACUGGAGUUUGUGCAGGCCUGGCCUCUGGGGUAGGAGCGGGGAGCCCUACCCAGGACCCUGGGAUCAUGACCUGAGCCAAAGGCAGACGCUUAACCAACUGAGCUACCCAGGUGCCCGCAGACCACGUUUUGUUUGUUCAUUUACUUGUUGAUGUAUGAAGACAUUUUUUCCAGGUUUUGCUGUCAUGAAAAAUGCUACUAUAGAUGUACUUGUAUAAUUUGUUCAUUAUGUGGGCUUAUGUUUUCAUUUCCCUUGGAGGGAGCAUUGUUGAAUCAUUGUGUAGGUAUAUGUUUAGAUUCAUAAAAAACUGCCAGACCGUUUUCCAAAGUGGCUGUACCAUUGUUCACUCCUAAGAAGGGUGCAUGGGUUCCUGGUGCUCCACAUCCUUGCUAGCACUUGAUACUGUCAUUCUUUUUAAUUUUAGCCAUCUUGGUGGGUGCAGAACAGCAUCUCACUGUGGUUAUAAUUUGCAUUUUUCUGAUAACUAAUGGUGUUGAGCAUCUUUCCAUAUACUUAUUAUUCCAUGCAUCUUACUUUGUGAAGCAUUUGUUCAUGUUUUUUGCUCAUUUUAAAAUUGGAUUGUCUUUUUAUUAUUGAUUUGUAUUUCUUUAUAUAUUCUGGAUAUAAAUCAUUUAUCACAUAUGCAUAGUACAUAGUUUCUCCUAGUCUGUGGCUUGUCUUUUCAUUAUCUAAAUGCUGUCUUCAUAAGCUAAAAUUUUUAAUUUUGAUGAGCGCAUUCUACUUUUGUGAUUAAGGUGUAAUUAGACUCUUGGAGCUGGGAUUGUAACUUUAGGAUUUUCAAUUAUUCUCAUCACUAGUGUGCGCAUGUGCACACACACACACACACACAGUCCUCACCCCAAGUAACCUGUGUUGGCAGCUUCCUAUGCAUCUUCCCGUGCUCCUACAAACAUAUACAUAUGCAUGAGAUUUUUUUUUUUUACUUAAAUGGGAGCACACUAUGGACCCAGGAAACUAUUUUCAUUUAACAGUACAACAGUACCAAGAGGUACAUGAAAAGACCUGUCAGAAUGGCUAUUAUAAAAAGGACAAGAUAUAACAAGUGUUGGCGAGGAUGUGGAGAAAAGGGGACCCCCAUGCACUGUUGGUGGGACUGUAAAUUGGUGUGCCACUGUUGAGGUUCCUCAAAAGAUUAAAAAUAGAACUACCAUAUGACCCCGUAAUUCCACUUCUGGGUACUUACCUGAAGAAAAUGAAAACACUAACUCAAAGAGCUAUCGGUCCUCCCAUGCUCACUGUAGCAUUAUUCACAAUAGCCAAGACAUGGGAGCAACCGAAGUGUGCAUUGAUAGAUGAGUGGAUAAAGAAGAUAUGGCAUAGAUAUACAAUGGAAUAUUACUCAGCCACGAAGAAGGAAAUCUUGCCAUUGGCAACAACACAGAUGGACCCUAAUGCUAAGUGAAAUAAGGCCGAGAAACAAAUGCUGUCUGAUUUCACUUAUAUGUAAAAUCUAAAAGGAAAAAGAAAGGAAAACCAAGCUCAUAGAUGCAGAGAACAGAUUGGUGGUUGCCAGAGGUGAGGGAUGGGUGAGAGAAAUGGGUAAAAGGGGUCAAAAAUUAAAAAAAGAAAGGCUAAGGCUAGCACAGGUAUCACAGAACUGAAAGGGUUGCUGGGGGCCCAAAUGUUUGGUAGAUUUCUCCACCAGAUAAUGCACUUUGUUUUAUUUUUCCCUAUUUUGAUGAAGAUUUUGCCAUUUUUUUUACACUGUGCCAGGAAAAACCGAAUUAUGACUUACAAUUUAUGAUUUCGGAAACCGAUUUCACAUGCAGUGCUAAAAUUCAUUUAUUGUGAAAUUUGACAUGCACCCUGAAGCACAUCUAAAACAUGUGCACUGCAUGAAGCGUGAAACCACAGUCAGCACUUACGCAACCAAGACUGACUGAGAAUGGCUGAGAAUGGACGCGGCCAGGACCCCGGUGGGCCUCUGCAUGUCGGAUCCGCUCCAGGGAUGGCCCCUAUGCAAAAACAUCAAAAACAAAAACACUUUUUUUUUCUCAGACCAUUUUGUUAUGUCAUUUUAAAUUAUAUUCAAAACUGUGCCUCUUUAGAAAUAUUUAUAUUACAACACACAUAGGAAAUGGAAAUUAAGGACAAAAAAAAGUGCUGCAACAAAGACAAAACUGUACGUGAGUUGAUCCACGGAGGCCAUAGGAAGAGAUCUGAACCAUUCUCUUUGGUUGCUACUUAAUUAAUAUUCCAGAGAAUGAAUAUGCCACUGCUGAUUUAACCACUUCUCUUUUUAAUGAGUUUCGAUUCUGUCUUCCGCUGGACCUUCGGGUUGUUUCAGCAUCUGGCUGCCUCAAACAACGCUCGAAACAAGCACACAAGCAAGCCAAUGAACACGCCGAGGGUACAGCUCUGCAAAGCCUGUUGCUGUUUCCUGUGGGAUAAAUUCCAACAGUGAGAUCGUUGGGUCAUGGAGUGCGUGUAUUUUGAAACUUAACAGCAACUGCAGAUUUCUUUCCCAAAAAGCUGUAGGAAUUCACAAGCUGCAGAGCCUCUUCGGGAACGUGGGGGUUGGUGUGACCCAGCACCUGCCUCGUGUUGAUGCACUGGGGCCACAUAGCUGUCUGCUGAGAGCCAUCAUGUCCAGGGCCUGGCAGCCUGCGCACGGAGGACUGGCUCCCACACACAAGGAAGAAACAGACCACAACGCAGGGAGGCGAGCAGGGAGUCCACUCUCCCAAGGAUCUGAAGCUCUCCUGUUGGGCUGGCUGGAAGCAAAGUUCACUGGCAAAAAAUGGGUUUUGCGGUGAAGCCAAGCAUGCUUCGUCCAUUCCUUGGCCGUCUGCUCUACCACUGUUUACUGAGCACCUACCGAGUGCUCCAAAAAGCGAUGGGCAUCUGUGGGCCUAGAGUCUCACAGGAGGCAUGGGUGAAACCCAGGCCUGCCACCUACUCAGGAUGUGCUUCAACCUCAGUUUCCUUGUCUGUAAAGCCAGCCCCUAUGUCGUAACAAUGUAGGAGGCCAUUGAGAUCCUAUCAGUAACUCCUCUAGGGCUUAUCUGUGCAAGGGUCUGUUCUCAAGGAACCCACAGGACCUGGGGGUGGCUGACCUGCAGGUGGAUGAGAAUGUGCCAGAAGCUCCCUGCCCUCAGAGCAGCCAGAAUGCGGUUUCUGAUAGCUGGACUCCCUGGGAAUGCCUUCCUUCCGAGGGACCAACUUGUUUUAACAGGCAAGAGCUUCUCUACAUCAGAGGAGUUACUGACUGAAAGGAGGGGGCUUUUAGAGCUCAGAGUUCACGUAAAUGUUCCCAGAUUUAGAGCGAAGAUGUUCCUGUAUCAAUUUGAGAUGGCAACGGGGCCAUCCCCCGUUGGACAUCCCAGACUCCAUGUUACACCUGUGAGAACCAACUGUGCAGGGGAGGCUGCCUCUGCCACAGUCGUGGAGGUGGGUGGGAGGGGGCUGAUCUGGCUCCUUGAAUCAGGGCUGCUCAGAAGUAGGACUACUGAGGACAAACAUUCACUGGCUUGGAGAAGGAUAAGACAAAUAGAUCAACGCAACAGAAUAGAGACCCCAGAAAUGGACCCUCAUAAAUAUAGUCAGCGGGUCUUUGACAAAGGGGCAAAGGCAAUGCAAUGAGGCAAAGACAGUCUCUUUAGCAACCAGUGUUGGAAUAACGGAACAUCAAUAUGCAAAUAAAUAAAUCUAGACACAGACCUUAUGCCCUUCACAAAAGUUAACUGAAAAUGGAUCACAGACCCAAAUAUAAAAUAAAAACUAUAAAAAUCCUAGAAGUUACCAUAGAAAACCCAGAUGACCUUGGGUGUGGUGAUGACUUCCUAGAUACAACACCAAAGACAUGAUCCAUGAAAGAAAGAAUUGAUAAGGUAGAUUUCAUUAAAAUUAGAAAAUUCUGCUCUGUGGAAGACCCCAUCAAGAGAAUGAGAAGAGAAGCCACAGACUAGGAGAAAAUAUUUGCAAACAACACAUCUGAUAUAAGAUGUUAUCCCAAAUAUUCAAAGAGCUCUUCCAACUCAAGACAACAAAUAGCCCAAUUAAAAAAUGGGCCAACAGAUACCUCACUGAAGAAGAUGUACUGAUGCCAAACAAGCAUAUGAAAAAAUGCACCACAUUAUACUCAUCAAGGAAAUGCAAAUGAAAACAACAAUGGGAUGCUACUACUCUCCUAUUAGAAUGGUCAAAACCCAAUAGACAGACAGCACCAAGUGCUGGUGAGGACAUGGAGCAACAGGAACUCUCACUCACUGCUGGUGGGAAUGCAAAAUGCUGCAGCCACCUUGGAAGACAGUUUGGCAGUUUCUUACAAAACUAGAAAUAUUUCUACCAUAUGAUCAGUUGUGCUUCUUGGUAUUUACCCAAAGAAGUGAAAAACUGAUGUCUGCACAAAAACUUGCAUGUGGAUGUUUAGAGCAACUUUAUUCAUCAUUGUCAAAACUUAGAAGGAGCCAGGAUGUCCUUCAGUAGGUGAAUGGAUAAGUAAACUGUGGUGCGUUCAGACGAUGGAAUAUUAUUCAGCAAUAAAAAGAAAUGAGCUAUCAAGCCAUGAAAAGACAUGGAGGAAGCUCAGAUGCAUAUUAUUCAGUGAAAGAAAUCAAUCUGAAAGGCUACAUGCUGUGUGACUCCACCUAUAUGACAUUCUGGGAAAGGCAAAACUAUAGAGACGGAGCCCUAAAAAGAAGAAAGGCAUCCUGUGAUGUCUGUGUCCACUAGCAAGUGACAGCCACAAGAUAACAACGAAGCCUCAAGAACAAGGGCCAUGGGACAGUGUUGGGUCCUGCCACCCAGAGCUCGCCAACAGUGAUUGAAGUUGAUUAAAAAUGAAGAACAAGCAAAGCAUUAGCCCAUCUCGUGUCCUCUCCGUCCCUGGAAGGAUUCUCCUGUAUCCUUGGAUUUAAGAUCCUUACUGUGACAUAUUUAAAAAGCAAGCUAGAUAAUGGAGACAGGUGACUUUAUGGAUAGAAUUAUUUGGUAAGUGUCUUAGUCCCUUUGAUUCCUGGCUACCUUAUUUAUAAAAUAGAAUAAUAUAUUCUUUGCAGAGUUGUUGAUUGGGGUUUAAUAGAUGAUAGAUAUAAAUCACCUGGAACAAUAAAUACUAACUCACUUUAAAAAAAAAAAAAAAAAGCAAGCUAAAGAUUUAUAUAUGAAUUCCCACUGGAUCCCACUGGCUUCCAGAGUCGAUUCGACACCUUUUCCCUCCCACCUGUGCAGAGGCAGUAAGUUCACUUCCCUAACCUCAGCGGUCUUGUUUGGACGAAGGAGCCCUGGCCAGAUGCUGGCCCUGCAGAACUUUUAAAAAAAUUAACCAAAUAGAGUUUUUAAAAAAUUAAGGCAAAAUUCAUACAACACAAAAUUCACCAUGUUAACUGUUUUCAAGUGUACCAUCUCGUGGCUUUUAGUACAUUUACAAUAUUCUGCAAACAUCACCACUAUCUAAAUUUGGAGCAUUUUCACCAGAAAACAAACUCCGUAUCCAUUAAGCAUCACUCUCUGGAUGGAUAUGGAUCUGCUUCUUCUGGACAUUUCAUAUACAUGGAAUCAUACUGUUAUAGGAUCGCAGGGUUCUUGUCUCACGGAGUCGAAGGAUGAAU